GUACCAGACUCCUACGGGAGGCAGCAGUGGGGAAUUUUGGACAAUGGGCGCAAGCCUGAUCCAGCUAUUCCGCGUGUGGGAUGACGGCCCUCGGGUUGUAAACCACUUUAGUAGAGAACGAAAAGGAGCUAUCGAAUAAAUAGCUCUGCUGACGGUACUCUAAGAAUAAGCACCGGCUAACUCCGUGCCAGCAGCCGCGGUAAUACGGAGGAUGCGAGCGUUAUCCGGAUUUAUUGGGUUUAAAGGGUGCGUAGGCGGACGCUUAAGUCAGCGGUAAAAUUGCGGGGCUCAACCUCGUCGAGUCGUUGAAACUGGGUGCCUUGAGUGGGCGAGAAGUACGCGGAAUGCGUGGUGUAGCGGUGAAAUGCAUAGAUAUCACGCAGAACUCCGAUUGCGAAGGCAGCGUACCGGCGCCCAACUGACGCUGAAGCACGAAGGCGUGGGUAUCGAACAGGAUUAGAUACCCGCGUAC
Molecule: ribosomal RNA, 472 nt
Filed under: uncultured bacterium
Lineage: Bacteria
Description: bacterial SSU rRNA
Rfam family: Bacterial small subunit ribosomal RNA
Source: RNAcentral